Molecule: ribosomal RNA, 463 nt
Filed under: Vreelandella stevensii
Lineage: Bacteria; Pseudomonadati; Pseudomonadota; Gammaproteobacteria; Oceanospirillales; Halomonadaceae
Description: partial 16S ribosomal RNA
Rfam family: Bacterial small subunit ribosomal RNA
Source: RNAcentral
CCUAGGGGAGCUGCAGUGGGGAAUAUUGGACAAUGGGCGAAAGCCUGAUCCAGCCAUGCCGCGUGUGUGAAGAAGGCCUUCGGGUUGUAAAGCACUUUCAGUGGGGAAGAAAGCCUUGGGGCUAAUACCCUCGAGGAAGGACAUCACCCACAGAAGAAGCACCGGCUACUCCGUGCCAGCAGCCGCGGUAAUACGGAGGGUGCGAGCGUUAAUCGGAAUUACUGGGCGUAAAGCGCGCGUAGGCGGUCUGAUAAGCCGGUUGUGAAAGCCCCGGGCUCAACCUGGGAACGGCAUCCGGAACUGUCAGGCUAGAGUGCAGGAGAGGAAGGUAGAAUUCCCGGUGUAGCGGUGAAAUGCGUAGAGAUCGGGAGGAAUACCAGUGGCGAAGGCGGCCUUCUGGACUGACACUGACGCUGAGGUGCGAAAGCGUGGGUAGCAAACAGGAUUAGAUACCCGUGUAGUC